GUGCUUGUACUGCCUUCCAAAGUGAAGAGGAGAUGAACAUGGCUUUGCAUAGCUGUUGUUCUAUGCCAACUUACCUACUCUUGCUGGUACCGUAGUGGCAUAUUGCAAAUUUCGUGGACGAACAACUCUAGUCACUAGUGGCUAGUGAGCAACACUAACAGAGCCUUGACGUUGCUGGACGAGCGACAAUAUAAAUUACAUAAACAUGUAGCUCGUGAUGUGGGAUGACUGCCGUAUCGCAUUGCCAACGCAAACCCAUCCUGUGUCAGUGCAGCCAUCCAGCAACUUGAACUCCCCGGACCAGAUGCCGCUGCAGCUGAACACCAUGCCGAUGGAAAGCCAGGAGUUGAUAGCGAAGCAUUCUGGUCUGCACAGUACAAGGCAAAGAACAAUUAUGAAUUAUAAUGCAUUGUAAUCUUUCCCACACUUCUUUGUAAAAACAAACAAACAGUGCCAUUAUCACAACACUUGAUCAAGCAUCUUGAUGGAGGUAUUUUCCAUUGUGCUGGCUCAGCAUCUGCACCAGGAAGACCAUGUACACUUA
Sycon ciliatum is the source of this 544-nucleotide long non-coding RNA. RefSeq lists it as uncharacterized. NCBI's taxonomy places the organism in Eukaryota, Metazoa, Porifera, Calcarea, Leucosolenida, Sycettidae. The record is from RefSeq and is a predicted model, not a curated record. The transcript has 2 exons.